CCUACGAGAGGCUGCAGUGAGGAAUAUUGGUCAAUGGUCGGGAGACUGAACCAGCCAAGCCGCGUGAGGGAUGAAGGUACAGAGUAUCGUAAACCUCUUUUGUCAGGGAACAAAGGCGGGGACGUGUCCCCGGAUGAGUGUACCUGAAGAAAAAGCAUCGGCUAACCCCGUGCCAGCAGCCGCGGUAAUACGGAGGAUGCGAGCGUUACCCGGAUUUAUUGGGUUUAAAGGGUGCGCAGGCGGUAUGGUAAGUCAGCGGGAAAAGCCCGGGGCCCACCCCCGGCCCGCCGUUGAAACUGGCAGUCUCGAGUUGGAGAGAGGUAUGCGGAAUGCGCGGUGUAGCGGUGAAAUGCAUAGAUAUCGCGCAGAACUCCGAUUGCGAAGGCAGCAUGCCGGCUCCACACUGACGCUGAGGCACGAAAGCGUGGGUAUCGAACAGGAUUAGAUACCCUGGUAGUC
RNAcentral lists this ribosomal RNA (459 nucleotides) under uncultured bacterium. Its description in RNAcentral is "partial 16S ribosomal RNA". It matches the Rfam family "Bacterial small subunit ribosomal RNA", at positions 338 to 795 of the family's 1533-position model. The record is from RNAcentral.